Gigantopelta aegis is the source of this 486-nucleotide long non-coding RNA. RefSeq lists it as uncharacterized. The transcript has 3 exons. The record is from RefSeq and is a predicted model, not a curated record. Lineage: Eukaryota; Metazoa; Mollusca; Gastropoda; Neomphalida; Peltospiridae.
AUGGUAAAAACAAAAUGACGGAAAACGCUAUAUAGUGACUGAGCUUCGCCUUGUCUCUCACUUUCUGCUUGAAGACCUGCCGCCAUGCUGAUGUUCGUUUUCUUCUGCUGCCUCCUCCUUUCGUUUGGAAGUGUGAGCACCUGGUAUACAGCGAGUUGUCAAGCUUACUCGGGAUAUUGUACAGUAGCACCCUGCCUUUCGUACAUGCGACAAAUAUUAAAAAGUGACUGUAGAAAAGGCCAAAUAUGCUGCUCAAUAAUAAUUUAAAUCAGAAUGCGAGAAGACAUUUAAGAGGUUGAGUAUAACCAGAACGAUGUCUUCCUCUCUGAGACUGUCUGUUCCUUUAUAACUGAGGACCCUUUCAAUCGCUUCACUUUUCGAUAUCUAUAAUAUAUCUUGGCGCUAUCAUACCUGUAAUCAGUCCUACUCCUGAGUAAAGAUACAAUUAAAAAAAAUGAAAUAAUAAUAAUAAAAACAUUUCUUCUA